Phasianus colchicus (ring-necked pheasant) is the source of this 178-nucleotide long non-coding RNA. RefSeq lists it as uncharacterized. The record is from RefSeq and is a predicted model, not a curated record. NCBI's taxonomy places the organism in Eukaryota, Metazoa, Chordata, Aves, Galliformes, Phasianidae.
CAGUGUGAAAUCAGUUUCUCAUUGCUAUGUUCCUGACAGAAUAACAGCAGAAAGGUCGCACAUUUCUGAUUUGCUCACAGUCAGGUCUCCAAAUUGCCUGAUGGGCUGUAGAUUGAUUUCUGUACCACAGGUACAUUUGCUCAUUUACAACCACUCUCAGCAUUUUCAAAAAAGAAUG